UACGUAGGGAGCAAGCGUUGUCCGGAUUUACUGGGUGUAAAGGGUGCGUAGGCGGCUUUGCAAGUCAGAAGUGAAAUCCAUGGGCUUAACCCAUGAACUGCUUUUGAAACUGCAGAGCUUGAGUGGAGUAGAGGUAGGCGGAAUUCCCGGUGUAGCGGUGAAAUGCGUAGAGAUCGGGAGGAACACCAGUGGUGAAGGCGGCCUGCUGGGCUCUAACUGACGCUGAGGCACGAAAGCGUGGGUAGCAAACAGG
Molecule: ribosomal RNA, 253 nt
Filed under: uncultured bacterium
Lineage: Bacteria
Description: partial 16S ribosomal RNA
Rfam family: Bacterial small subunit ribosomal RNA
Source: RNAcentral